This 80-nucleotide small RNA is filed under the name Marmota monax (woodchuck). The record is from RNAcentral. Lineage: Eukaryota; Metazoa; Chordata; Mammalia; Rodentia; Sciuridae.
UCUGGGUGUGGUGGUGCACACCUGUAAUCCCUGCAACUUGGAAGGCUGAGGCAGGAGGGUUACAAGGAGGUCAGCCUCUG